AAACAUCAAUCCCCCCCGGUUUUGCGACUGUGGUCUGGUGGACUUGGAGAUGGGCCCUGCCGGGCGACCGGCUGGCCUGAUAGACGUUAGUGGGAAGUGUUUCCUCUGGCCUGACGUGAUAAGUUUCGUCUGACCUUGGAUGGCACAUGCCUGCUCAGAACCCCAUGCCUUUGGGCAGAUCUUUUAU
RNAcentral lists this unclassified non-coding RNA (187 nucleotides) under uncultured Genolevuria. RNAcentral describes it as "partial internal transcribed spacer 2". Lineage: Eukaryota; Fungi; Basidiomycota; Tremellomycetes; Tremellales; Bulleraceae. The record is from RNAcentral.